Molecule: ribosomal RNA, 461 nt
Filed under: uncultured bacterium
Lineage: Bacteria
Description: bacterial SSU rRNA
Rfam family: Bacterial small subunit ribosomal RNA
Source: RNAcentral
AGCGAACGCUGGCGGCAGGCCUAAUACAUGCAAGUCGAACGGUCUCUUCGGAGGCAGUGGCGGACGGGUGAGUAACGCGUGGGAAUAUGCCCUUUGGUACGGAACAACUGAGGGAAACUUCAGCUAAUACCGUAUGUGCCCUUCGGGGGAAAGAUUUAUCGCCAUUGGAGUAGCCCGCGUUGGAUUAGGUAGUUGGUGGGGUAAAGGCCUACCAAGCCUACGAUCCAUAGCUGGUCUGAGAGGAUGAUCAGCCACACUGGGACUGAGACACGGCCCAGACUCCUACGGGAGGCAGCAGUAGGGAAUCUUGCGCAAUGGGCGAAAGCCUGACGCAGCCAUGCCGCGUGAAUGAUGAAGGUCUUAGGAUUGUAAAAUUCUUUCACCGGGGAAGAUAAUGACGGUACCCGGGAGAAGAAGCCCCGGCUAACCUUCGUGCCAGCAGCCGCGGUAAACGUCUACUG